Molecule: long non-coding RNA, 236 nt
Organism: Schistocerca americana (American grasshopper)
Lineage: Eukaryota; Metazoa; Arthropoda; Insecta; Orthoptera; Acrididae
Exons: 4
Source: RefSeq, a predicted model, not a curated record
CAUUCAGCUGGACUCUUCGAUGGCCGCGCCUCCUGGUCAGUGUGUGUAGAGAGGCGCUGGCGCUAGUACAGUAGCAGAGUCCGAGUCCAGCGACCGCUGCACAACAGGAGAACGCGUCACCCGCCGCGGGUGCUAUGCUGCCGAAUCCGACGCAUACCAGCUGCACUCUACGCUUAAGGCAAACGGGAUCCGACCAAUCUCCCACGAACGAGGUGAGAGCAGGAUGAGGAGGAGGA